This 158-nucleotide ribosomal RNA is filed under the name Physcia tenella var. marina. RNAcentral's name for it is "5.8S ribosomal RNA". The stretch from base 1 to 138 matches the Rfam family "5.8S ribosomal RNA", at positions 17 to 154 of the family's 154-position model. From Rfam's summary of the family: 5.8S ribosomal RNA (5.8S rRNA) is a component of the large subunit of the eukaryotic ribosome. It is transcribed by RNA polymerase I as part of the 45S precursor that also contains 18S and 28S rRNA. Functionally, it is thought that 5.8S rRNA may be involved in ribosome translocation. Lineage: Eukaryota; Fungi; Ascomycota; Lecanoromycetes; Caliciales; Physciaceae. The record is from RNAcentral.
UCUCUUGGUUCUGGCAUCGAUGAAGAACGCAGCGAAAUGCGAUAAGUAAUGUGAAUUGCAGAAUUCCGUGAAUCAUCGAAUCUUUGAACGCACAUUGCGCCCUUUGGUAUUCCGAAGGGCAUGCCUGUUCGAGCGUCAUUGCAACCCUCAAGCACUGC